AUUGAACGCUGGCGGCAGGCUUAACACAUGCAAGUCGAACGGUAACAUAAAGAAGCUUGCUUCUUUGAUGACGAGUGGCGGACGGGUGAGUAAUGCUUGGGAAUCUAGCUUAUGGAGGGGGAUAACUACGGGAAACUGUAGCUAAUACCGCGUAGAAUCGGGAGAUGAAAGUGUGGGACCUUCGGGCCACAUGCCAUAGGAUGAGCCCAAGUGGGAUUAGGUAGUUGGUGAGGUAAAGGCUCACCAAGCCGACGAUCUCUAGCUGGUCUGAGAGGAUGACCAGCCACACUGGGACUGAGACACGGCCCAGACUCCUACGGGAGGCAGCAGUGGGGAAUAUUGCGCAAUGGGGGCAACCCUGACGCAGCCAUGCCGCGUGAAUGAAGAAGGCCUUCGGGUUGUAAAGUUCUUUCGGUAGCGAGGAAGGCAUUUAGUUUAAUAAACUGGAUGAUUGACG
RNAcentral lists this ribosomal RNA (457 nucleotides) under Terrahaemophilus aromaticivorans. Its description in RNAcentral is "bacterial SSU rRNA". It matches the Rfam family "Bacterial small subunit ribosomal RNA", at positions 30 to 474 of the family's 1533-position model. Lineage: Bacteria; Pseudomonadati; Pseudomonadota; Gammaproteobacteria; Pasteurellales; Pasteurellaceae. The record is from RNAcentral.